UCUGGAAACUGUCUGACUNGAGUGCAGAAGGGGAGAGUGGAAUUCCAUGUGUAGCGGUGAAAUGCGUAGAUAUAUGGAGGAACACCAGUGGCGAAAGCGGCUCUCUGGUCUGUCACUGACGCUGAGGCUCGAAAGCGUGGGUAGCGAACAGGAUUAGAUACCCUGGUAGUCCACGCCGUAAACGAUGAGUGCUAGGUGUUAGGCCCUUUCCGGGGCUUAGUGCCGGAGCUAACGCAAUAAGCACUCCGCCUGGGGAGCACGACCGCAAGGUUGAAACUCAAAGGAAUUGACGGGGGCCCGCACAAGCGGUGGAGCAUGUGGUUUAAUUCGAAGCAACGCGAAGAACCUUACCAGGUCUUGACAUCCCGAUGCUAUUCUUAGAGAUAGGAAGUUACUUCGGUACAUCGGAGACAGGUGGUGCAUGGUUGUCGUCAGCUCGUGUCGUGAGAUGUUGGGUUAAGUCCCGCAACGAGCGCAACCCUUAUUGUUAGUUGCCAUCAUUAAGUUGGGCACUCUAGCGAGACUGCCGGUAAUAAACCGGAGGAAGGUGGGGAUGACGUCAAAUCAUCAUGCCCCUUAUGACCUGGGCUACACACGUGCUACAAUGGUCGGUACAACGAGUUGCGAGCCGGUGACGGCAAGCUAAUCUCUGAAAGCCGAUCUCAGUUCGGAUUGGAGGCUGCAACUCGCCUCCAUGAAGUCGGAAUCGCUAGUAAUCGCGGAUCAGCACGCCGCGGCGAAUACGUUCCCGGGCCUUGUACACACCGCCCGUCACACCACGAGAGUUUGUAACACCCGAAGUCGGUGAGGUAACCUUUUAGGGGCCAGCCGCCUAAGGUG
RNAcentral lists this ribosomal RNA (840 nucleotides) under uncultured bacterium. RNAcentral's name for it is "bacterial SSU rRNA". It matches the Rfam family "Bacterial small subunit ribosomal RNA", at positions 625 to 1464 of the family's 1533-position model. The record is from RNAcentral.